AGAACGAACGCUGGCGGCAUGCCUAACACAUGCAAGUCGAACGAGACCUUCGGGUCUAGUGGCGCACGGGUGCGUAACGCGUGGGAAUCUGCCCUUGGGUUCGGAAUAACAGUUAGAAAUGACUGCUAAUACCGGAUGAUGUCUUCGGACCAAAGAUUUAUCGCCCAGGGAUGAGCCCGCGUAGGAUUAGGUAGUUGGUGGGGUAAUGGCCCACCAAGCCGACGAUCCUUAGCUGGUCUGAGAGGAUGAUCAGCCACACUGGGACUGAGACACGGCCCAGACUCCUACGGGAGGCAGCAGUGGGGAAUAUUGGACAAUGGGCGAAAGCCUGAUUCAGCAAUGCCGCGUGAGUGAUGAAGGCCUUAGGGUUGUAAAGCUCUUUUACCAGGGAUGAUAAUGACAGUACCUGGAGAAUAAGCUCCGGCUAACUCCGUGCCAGCAGCCGC
RNAcentral lists this ribosomal RNA (446 nucleotides) under uncultured bacterium. Its description in RNAcentral is "SSU rRNA". It matches the Rfam family "Bacterial small subunit ribosomal RNA", at positions 26 to 518 of the family's 1533-position model. The record is from RNAcentral.